RNAcentral lists this ribosomal RNA (439 nucleotides) under uncultured bacterium. Its description in RNAcentral is "partial 16S ribosomal RNA". It matches the Rfam family "Bacterial small subunit ribosomal RNA", at positions 339 to 795 of the family's 1533-position model. The record is from RNAcentral.
CUACGGGCGGCACCAGUGAGGAAUAUUGCACAAUGGGGGGAACCCUGAUGCAGCAACGCCGCGUGGAGGAUGACGCAUUUCGGUGUGUAAACUCCUUUUAUAUGUCAAGAAAAUGACGGUAGCAUAUGAAUAAGCACCGGCUAACUCCGUGCCAGCAGCCGCGGUAAUACGGAGGGUGCAAGCGUUACUCGGAAUCACUGGGCGUAAAGGACGCGUAGGCGGGUUGGAAAGUCAGGUGUGAAAUCCUACAGCUUAACUGUAGAACUGCACUUGAAACUUCUAAUCUAGAGUAUGGGAGGGGGAGAUGGAAUUAGUGGUGUAGGGGUAAAAUCCGUAGAUAUCACUAGGAAUACCUAAAGCGAAGGCGAUCUCCUGGAACAUUACUGACGCUAAGGCGUGAAAGCGUGGGGAGCAAACAGGAUUAGAUACCCGAGUAGUC